UAUUUGCUAUUCAUAGCUGGCACCAGGUGAACAGAAAUUCAAUACAUUCUUUACCUGACCUAUCUUAUCUGACACCAUUACUAUUUUAUUAUAGUUUGUUUCCAAAACAUUAUUUAGUAUCUGUAUGCCAGUGUCACACCGAGCCUGCAAGUAGUUCUUAGGUUGGUUAAUUUUUGUAUCACUGGACCUUAAAGACCCUUUUCUAUUGCUGUUAUGACAAUUCGUUGAUUGUAGCCUCUGUGUGUCACAGUCAUAAAUCAGCUGGCUUUGUUUUAGUUCUACAGCAUAAGCAUUUAAAUUUGAACUCAGAUGCAGUCCUGUUUUAAUUUAUUUAUUUUAAUAAAACUAUUUUUAUUUUAAAUUCUUUGAUUAGUUUUUUUGGUAAAUUUGUUAAUUUUAAUAUAUUAUACAUAUUAACAUUCUCUUACAUAAUCAAGCAUAGGCUUGAUUAUGCUGACACUGUUUAUCUUGACAUUACUGAGGAGCAA
Molecule: unclassified non-coding RNA, 488 nt
Filed under: Melitaea cinxia (Glanville fritillary)
Lineage: Eukaryota; Metazoa; Arthropoda; Insecta; Lepidoptera; Nymphalidae
Description: misc RNA ENSMCXG00005004319.1
Source: RNAcentral